Molecule: ribosomal RNA, 1422 nt
Filed under: metagenome
Description: bacterial LSU rRNA
Rfam family: Bacterial large subunit ribosomal RNA
Source: RNAcentral
UGAGUGACAAUUCCGCGCCCUGACGAAAUAGGGCGUUAAAAGAUGUAGGUAUAUUUUCUAUAGGCAAAUCCGUAGAGAAUGCUGAAGUCCAACAGUACCAGGAGGCUCCGGCCGAAUGGAUAGAGAAUGUAAGCAGACUUCCGAGAAAAUCUUCUAAGCAUAUUGAUACGGUACCCGUACCGCAAACCGACACAGGUAGUCAAGGAGAGAAUCCUGAGGUGCUCGAGUGAGUCAUGGCUAAGGAACUAGGCAAAUUAAACCUGUAACUUCGGGAAAAGGGUUGCCUCUCUUUAGCAAUAAAGAAGGUCGCAGAGAAAUGGCCCAGGCGACUGUUUAACAAAAACACAUGGCUAUGCGAAAUCGUAAGAUGAAGUAUAUGGCCUGACACCUGCCCGGUGCUGGAAGGUUAAGGGGGGAAGUUAGUCGCAAGGCGAAGCUUUGAACUGAAGCCCCAGUAAACGGCGGCCGUAACCAUAACGGUCCUAAGGUAGCGAAAUUCCUUGUCGGGUAAGUUCCGACCUGCACGAAUGGUGUAACGAUCUGGGCACUGUCUCAGCCAUGAGCUCGGUGAAAUUGUAGUCACGGUGAAGAUGCCGUGUACCCGUCACGGGACGGAAAGACCCCAUGCACCUUUACUAUAGCUUCGCAUUGACAUUGGGUAGAUGAUGUGUAGGAUAGGUGGGAGGCGUUGAUCCUGUGCCGCUAGGUAUAGGGGAGCCAACGGUGAAAUACCACCCUUUAUUUAUCUGAUGUCUAAUCCGCAAGACCUGCGGAGACAGUGCGUGGUGGGUAGUUUGACUGGGGUGGUCGCCUCCGAAAGUGUAUCGGAGGCUUUCAAAGGUAUGCUCAAUACGCUUGGUAACCGUAUGUGGAGUGCAAUAGCAUAAGCAUGCUUGACUGUGAGACUGACAAGUCGAGCAGGGUCGAAAGACGGAUAUAGUGAUCCGGUGGUUCUGUAUGGAAGGGCCAUCGCUCAAAGGAUAAAAGGUACGCUGGAUAACAGGCUGAUCUCCCCCAAGAGCUCACAUCGACGAGGAGGUUUGGCACCUCGAUGUCGGCUCGUCACAUCCUGGGGCUGGAGAAGGUCCCAAGGGUUAGGCUGUUCGCCUAUUAAAGUGGCACGCGAGCUGGGUUCAGAACGUCGUGAGACAGUUCGGUCCCUAUCUGUGAUGGGCGUAGGAAGUUUGAGAGGAUCUGACCUUAGUACGAGAGGACCGGGUUGGACCAACCGCUGGUGUACCGGUUGUGGCGUCAGCUGCAUCGCCGGGUAGCUACGUUGGGACGAGAUAAGCGCUGAAAGCAUCUAAGCGCGAAACUCACCUCAAGAUGAGACUUCCAUUAAGGGACGUCAGAGACUAUGACGUUGAUAGGCUGCAGGUGUAAAGGCAGAAAUGUCAAAGCUGAGCAGUACUAAUUACCCUA